UGCAGCAGGAGACAAAGUUGGAGCCAGUGCAUCAGAUGGUUCAAAGAGUUUUUUUGGCCCAGGGAAGGCAGAACUAGAGGCAGUUGGUUCUUGUGUUGAG
Molecule: small RNA, 100 nt
Filed under: Pan troglodytes (chimpanzee)
Lineage: Eukaryota; Metazoa; Chordata; Mammalia; Primates; Hominidae
Description: processed transcript
Source: RNAcentral